RNAcentral lists this ribosomal RNA (253 nucleotides) under uncultured bacterium. Its description in RNAcentral is "partial 16S ribosomal RNA". It matches the Rfam family "Bacterial small subunit ribosomal RNA", at positions 524 to 776 of the family's 1533-position model. The record is from RNAcentral.
UACGGGGGGGGCAAGCGUUGUUCGGAAUUACUGGGCGUAAAGGGCUCGUAGGCGGCCAACUAAGUCAUACGUGAAAUCCCUCAGCUUAACUGGGGAACUGCGUGUGAUACUGGAUGGCUUGGAUGUGGGAGAGGGAUGCGGAAUUCCAGGUGUAGCGGUGAAAUGCGUAGAUAUCUGGAGGAACACCGGUGGCGAAGGCGGCAUCCUGGACCAAUAUUGACGCUGAGGAGCGAAAGCUAGGGGAGCAAACGGG